This 218-nucleotide non-coding RNA is filed under the name Pseudomonas bubulae. RNAcentral describes it as "sucA-II RNA". It matches the Rfam family "sucA-II RNA". The record is from RNAcentral. Lineage: Bacteria; Pseudomonadati; Pseudomonadota; Gammaproteobacteria; Pseudomonadales; Pseudomonadaceae.
UACGGCGCAGGCUUCAACCGGCGCCGUAGUUUUAACCUGAGCAACAGCUCAUAAAGCUGCGGCUCUUAUUUUGAAGAAAUGAGACCAGCAGGGGCAUCCGGGCUGGUACCCGGACUAUCAGCGUGAUCCUAAGUGGCUUGUUUUAGUCGCUGUAUUCGGACUUUCUCAAGCAUGCUCUGGUGUUCUCGUCGAUGGUGUCCCCUAACCGAGGGUGACCA